Small nuclear RNA from Anthonomus grandis grandis, 159 nucleotides. RefSeq annotates it as U12 minor spliceosomal RNA. Lineage: Eukaryota; Metazoa; Arthropoda; Insecta; Coleoptera; Curculionidae. The record is from RefSeq and is a predicted model, not a curated record. The transcript has a single exon.
GUGCCUUAAACUAAUGAGUAAGGAAAAUAUUCGAGCCUUGGUAACGCUUGGCUUACAUACUAGCUAAGAUUUACUAGUCUGUAUUUUUGGAAGGGUACAGGUCGUCCCGUGGGCCUCGCCUACUUUUAAGCGGUUGGUCCUGGUGAAGCGAUCUGCCCU